RNAcentral lists this long non-coding RNA (1521 nucleotides) under Homo sapiens (human). Its description in RNAcentral is "long intergenic non-protein coding RNA 3156". Lineage: Eukaryota; Metazoa; Chordata; Mammalia; Primates; Hominidae. The record is from RNAcentral.
GUGUUCAGGCCGGUCCACGCUGGGUGACCCAUGUGACCUGCUGCUUAGCAAUUCCUUGUCACCAUCUUCCCUUCUCAGCCUCUUUUUUCAUGCUAACAGGCAUAAAUGAAAUGAUAAAAGUUUGAGCUCUUCUCGUGGAAUUCUCGUGAUACAGAUAUGUGCUACAUGUUCAUCAUCUCGUUGGUCUUCACCAUGAUAACUGUGGAGUAAGAAUUAUAAGCAGGUCACAGAUUAGGGACUUGAGAUUGACAGUUUGGCUUCCCUGUUCUGGGUGGCAAAGCCUGUGGAGUACUCACCUACCUGCUGCAUGAAGGCAGCAUGGAGGGACUGUGGUGGAUUAUCUGCAAAGAUGGCCAAAAUUCUCUCAUCCCUGCAGGCACAUACAAGGUUUCCAGAAGUUCCCCAGUCAUUGAGCAUUUCUGAGGCUCUUGAUGCAUAUGCCAAGUAGUUAUGGAGAAAGACACAGCAGCUUACCUCUGCAGGCAUCAUUGUGUGAAAGGAAGACCCAGGCUCUCUCACCACCCUUGAACAGAAGCCUUUUGCUAAGGUGAUAGCUACAUGUCCAAGCCUAUUGCGUGGCAUGCAUUUUGCCUUCUGCAGCCCACUAAAGGAAAUUGAAGUAUACAGAAUGCUUAUUUGGUCUACUCAGUAUCAUCCUAAAUGUAUGUACCAAUGCUUAGGAGUUUGCAGUUCACCCGCAAACCUCAGCGAUCCAAGCUCCCCUGGAUGACCAUCACUCACCAAGAAAAGAGCAAUAACAGGACCUGUUUUGCUAAUCCAGGACUGUUCUCCAGCACUAACUCUAAAUAAUCCCUUCUGCUAGAGUCCACUUUCUGGAACCUGUUGCCUCCGUUUUCAACGUUUCCCAAACUUGGUCCGUUGUGUGAGCUGGCUGAUAAAAGUUCCAGGGAGAAGACAUCUUACUCUUAUUGGAUCAUGCACAGUGCCUGAAGCAUUCUGUUGCAUGUAGAAGUCAGUAAAUUGCAGAUGUAAGAUUCAAAACCAGACUUCACAUCUACCGACUUCAGUGACCCUGAAAUUUGUUCACAGAGAGCAUUUAACAUAACUGUCUUCAUCAUCUCCUUCUCUACAUUAAAAAUUAUGGUUCACAAAGACGUUAUUGGUGAUUCAAUCUUGAGUCAUGAAAAGUCAACCUUGAGCCACAAAAAGUCAACCUUGAGCCAAGCAGAUUGGAGAGUCAUACAUGCCAUUCCUGGGACCAUCAAAAAUGGCAGAGGUCACACAAAAAGGCAAAACUUUUAAGAGGUGUUUUAAACGUCGUAUGGGCCAAAGAGAAGCUGGAUUUCCUAUUGGAGUCACCUGUAACACACGUGUGACGAAAUUGGCCUGUGAGGACAAGGCAGUGAGCAGAGAGGACAGCAGUCCUUAUGAGAUCAAGCUCUAAGGUGAGGUUGCAGGAUCUGAAGGCCAGCUCCCCUGCUUGCUCACUGUAUGACUUUAGGCAAGUCAUUUUACUUCUGAAUGAUUCAUAUUGGAAGUAAAAUAUAUGAUUGGUUAAAA